CCUACGGGAGGCUGCAGUGAGGAAUAUUGGUCAAUGGACGCGAGUCUGAACCAGCCAAGCAGCGUGAAGGAUGACUGCCCUACGGGUUGUAAACUUCUUUUAUAAAAGAAUAAAGUGAGGCACGCGUGUCUUUUUGUAUGUAUCUUACGAAUAAGGAUCGGCUAACUCCGUGCCAGCAGCCGCGGUAAUACGGAGGAUCCAAGCGUUAUCCGGAUUUAUUGGGUUUAAAGGGAGCGUAGAUGGUUGGUUAAGUCAGUUGUGAAAUUUUGCGGCUCAACCGUGAAAUUGCAAUUGAUACUGGCAGUCUUGAGAGCAGUUGAGGUAGGCGGAAUGCGUGGUGUAGCGGUGAAAUGCUUAGAGAUCACGAAGAACACCGAUUGCGAAGGCAGCUUACUAAGCUGCCACUGACAUUGAUGCACGAAAGUGUGGGUAUCAAACAGGAUUAGAUACCCGAGUAGUC
RNAcentral lists this ribosomal RNA (460 nucleotides) under uncultured bacterium. Its description in RNAcentral is "partial 16S ribosomal RNA". It matches the Rfam family "Bacterial small subunit ribosomal RNA", at positions 338 to 795 of the family's 1533-position model. The record is from RNAcentral.